GAUGAAGAACGCAGCGAAAUGCGAUAAGUAGUGUGAAUUGCAGAAUUCAGUGAAUCAUCGAGUCUUUGAACGCACAUUGCGCCCCCUGGUAUUCCGGGGGGCAUGCCUGUCCGAGCGUCAUUGCCGCCCUCAAGCACGGCUUGUGUGUUGGGCCCCCGCCCCCCGGCUUCGGGGGGCGGGCCCGAAAGGCAGCGGCGGCACCGCGUCCGGUCCUCGAGCGUAUGGGGCUUCGUCACCCGCUCUGUAGGCCCGGCCGGCGCCCGCCGGCGACCCCAAUCAAUCUUUCCAGGUUGACCUCGGAUCAGGUAGGGAUACCCGCUGAACUUAAGCAUAUCAAUAAGCGGAGGA
Molecule: unclassified non-coding RNA, 348 nt
Filed under: soil metagenome
Description: partial contains 5.8S ribosomal RNA, internal transcribed spacer 2, and large subunit ribosomal RNA
Rfam family: 5.8S ribosomal RNA (bases 1-120)
Source: RNAcentral